CCGGGAGCCGUGGGGCGGCAUGGAGGGGCUGGUUGUCGCCGCCGGCGGGGACGUCUCCCUGCACAACUUCAGCGCGAGGCUGUGGGAGCAGCUGGUCCACUUCCACGUCAUGCGGCUGACGGACUCGCUGUUCCUGUGGGUGGGGGCCACGCCGCACCUGCGCAACCUCGCCGUGGCCAUGUGCAGCCGCUACCUGAUCCUGGAGAAACUAAAACCUUCUGCACAGCAAAGGAAACAAUCAACAGACUGAAAAGACAACCUACAGAAUGAGAGAAAGUCUUUGCAAACUAUUCAUCUGACAGGGGAUUAACAUCUAGAAUAUAUGAGGAACUCAAACACCUCAACAGCAAAAAAAGAAACAACCUGAUUUUUAAAAUGGACAAUAAUCUGAAUAGACAUUUCUUAAAAGACACAAAUGGCCAACAAACAUAUAUUAAAAAAAGCUCAACAUCACUAAUCAUCAGAAAACACAAAUCAAAACCACAAUGAGGUAUCAACUCACCUCAGUUAGGAUGGCUAUUAUCAAAAAGACACACACACAAAAAUGCUGGCAAGGAUGUGGAGAAAGGGAACUCUUAUAUGAUGUUGGUGGGAAUGUAAACUAGUACAUCAACUAUGGAGAACAGUACAGAGGUUCCUCAAAAAACUACAAACAGAAUUACCUCAUGACCCAGCAAUCCCACUACUGGUGUUUAUC
RNAcentral lists this long non-coding RNA (697 nucleotides) under Homo sapiens (human). Its description in RNAcentral is "long non-coding RNA NONHSAT206661.1". The record is from RNAcentral. Lineage: Eukaryota; Metazoa; Chordata; Mammalia; Primates; Hominidae.